This 240-nucleotide unclassified non-coding RNA is filed under the name soil metagenome. RNAcentral's name for it is "partial contains 5.8S ribosomal RNA, internal transcribed spacer 2, and large subunit ribosomal RNA". The record is from RNAcentral.
AACUGAUACUACCUGCGGGAACCUGCGGAAGGAUCAUUACUGAGGUUAUUCGGCUUCACAGCCGGUCACCCGUCCUUUUGUCAUUAGAUUUCUCUCUGCACCCUCUCACGAGGGGGCGAGAGGUGGUCAUUUCCGCCGAAGCGUUGCGUCCUGCCCGAGAGGGUGGGCUCCGCGACCGCGGCGGGCCAUUUUUACAAACUCUGUAUGCAAGCUGAAGUCUGAAUUACAAGAAAUUGAAAA